CCUAUUCCAUCCAGGAAGAUCGCUCAGUCCAUUACUCCAUUUGCAUUCCAAAUCUCACUUCCUCUCUUUCAAGAAAAUUGCACCACCAUGCCAACUUCCGGAGAAUUGAGUGGCAGUCAAUUCUGGGAAGCUGCUCCUCCUCAGGCAGUUGCCCAUAAAGGCAGGGUCUGAGAACAGGCCUCGUCAGAGCUCUGGGUCUCCUCCUAAACGUCUAGCCUUCCCAUCUCCGGGCACCAUGGUCUCCUUGCCUGUCUUCUCCGUCUUGAUCAUUUCCACGUCUGGCCUCCUUUGCAUAUCUCCAGCAGAUGCCUCCACAAGUAGCUGCUGCUUCUCAUAUAUUACCAGGCAGAUCCCAGGAAGAUGGUGGUGGACUAUGUUUAUACCAGCAAGCUGUGCCCUAUUCCAGGGGUCAUAUUAACCUCCA
Trichosurus vulpecula (common brushtail) is the source of this 424-nucleotide long non-coding RNA. RefSeq lists it as uncharacterized. The record is from RefSeq and is a predicted model, not a curated record. The transcript is spliced from 3 exons. NCBI's taxonomy places the organism in Eukaryota, Metazoa, Chordata, Mammalia, Diprotodontia, Phalangeridae.